Molecule: ribosomal RNA, 377 nt
Filed under: uncultured eukaryote
Lineage: Eukaryota
Description: partial 18S ribosomal RNA
Rfam family: Eukaryotic small subunit ribosomal RNA
Source: RNAcentral
CAAUAGCGUAUAUUAAAGUUGUUGCAGUUAAAAAGCUCGUAGUUGGAUUUCGGGGCAGCCUGGCUGGUCCGCCGCAAGGCGAGUACUGGUCAGCCGCCCUUCCUCUCGAAAGCCCCGACUGCUCUUCGUUGCAGUGGUCGGGUAGUUCGGGACGUUUACUUUGAAAAAAUUAGAGUGUUCAAGGCAGGCCUACGCCUGAAUACAUUAGCAUGGAAUAAUGGAAGAGGACCUCGGUCCUAUUUUGUUGGUUUCCAGGGCCGAAGUAAUGGUUAAGAGGGACAGUUGGGGGCAUUCGUAUUUAAUUGUCAGAGGUGAAAUUCUCGGAUUUAUGAAAGACGAACAACUGCGAAAGCAUUUGCCAAGGAUGUUUUCAUUAA